Molecule: long non-coding RNA, 153 nt
Organism: Trachemys scripta elegans
Lineage: Eukaryota; Metazoa; Chordata; Testudines; Emydidae
Exons: 2
Source: RefSeq, a predicted model, not a curated record
GAAACAUAAACUACUAAAAAUACAACAGGAAAGUUUAAAAAAAGAUUUGACAAGGCAGGAGUCCAGUGUGAUGAUGCAUUUUGAGACAAAGGCAAUGGCAGCAUUUGGACACACGAGAAAGCAGGAGGCUUGGGAAAUCUAGGUCUGCAACAG